Poecile atricapillus (Black-capped chickadee) is the source of this 260-nucleotide long non-coding RNA. RefSeq lists it as uncharacterized. Lineage: Eukaryota; Metazoa; Chordata; Aves; Passeriformes; Paridae. The record is from RefSeq and is a predicted model, not a curated record. The transcript is spliced from 3 exons.
CAUCCCAGUUCGGACCAGUUCAGACCAGUUUGGACCAGUUUGGACCAGUGACCUCCAGGGGACCUCCAGGACCGUCCCAGUUCAUCCCAUUUCGGACCAGUUUGGACCAGUUUGGACCUCCCAGGACCCCCCCCGGAGCCUCCCAGUUCAUCCCAGACCAUCCCAGUUCAUCCCAGUUCAUCCCAGUUCGGACCAGUUCGGACCAGUUUGGACCAGUUUGGACCAGUGACCUCCAGGGGACAUCCAGGACCAUCCCAGUU